GGCGCUGUAGCUUAGUUGUAAAGCGCCUGUCUCGUAAACAUGAGAUCGGUGGUUCGAGUCCGCCAGUGCCU
RNAcentral lists this transfer RNA (71 nucleotides) under Hofstenia miamia. Its description in RNAcentral is "tRNA-Thr for anticodon CGU". It matches the Rfam family "tRNA". Rfam says of the family: Transfer RNA (tRNA) molecules are approximately 80 nucleotides in length. Their secondary structure includes four short double-helical elements and three loops (D, anti-codon, and T loops). The record is from RNAcentral. Lineage: Eukaryota; Metazoa; Xenacoelomorpha; Acoela; Hofsteniidae.